RNAcentral lists this long non-coding RNA (470 nucleotides) under Homo sapiens (human). RNAcentral describes it as "HSALNT0356076". Lineage: Eukaryota; Metazoa; Chordata; Mammalia; Primates; Hominidae. The record is from RNAcentral.
GUGCGUUGCCGGUGGGCGCUUUAGGAAAUUGGUAGGAGGAAAAGCGGCUUCUUUUGAAAAGAAUUCUCUUAGGAAUCUCUGGCUUCAUUGAGGACACAGGUGUAAGCAGAAGCUGUGUUCUCAGCUCCAAGAGGCCGACCCCACGAAAGCCUAAGCAGGUGAAUUUCGUAAAGACGUUGACAGUUGGAAAACCUGUGCUUUCAGCACGUGAUAAAUCUGCAGAGUCAGCAGACAAUGAAGAUUUGGCAUUCAAGAACUCCUCAAAUACUUCUCGAUAGUAGCUAUUCAGAGCCUGCCUUGAUAGACCGAACUUGCUCAUAUUUAAAUCAUUAAGAUAGAGGAAAGAAUGUAACAACUUUUUAAAAUGUUUCUUACCCCAUAAAUACUUGAAGAAGAUAUGUUAUAUUGGACCAUGGAUCUUUCUGGGGGGGAGGGGAGAAGAAAGCAAAAGUAAAGUUUAAAUUUACAUU